This 492-nucleotide ribosomal RNA is filed under the name uncultured bacterium. RNAcentral describes it as "partial 16S ribosomal RNA". It matches the Rfam family "Bacterial small subunit ribosomal RNA", at positions 29 to 506 of the family's 1533-position model. The record is from RNAcentral.
ACGAACGCUGGCGGCGUGCUUCACCCAUGCAAGUCGAACGGUGAAGCGCCUUCCUUUUUGGUGGGUGUGGAUGAGUGGCGAACGGGUGAGUAACACGUGAGUAACCUGCCCCCUUCUUCUGGAUAACCGCAUGAAAGUGUGGCUAAUACGGGAUAUUCUGGGUCUGUCGCAUGAUGGGUCUGGGAAAGAUAUUGUUUCGGUGGGGGAUGGGCUCGCGGCCUAUCAGCUUGUUGGUGGGGUGAUGGCCUACCAAGGCGGUGACGGGUAGCCGGCCUGAGAGGGUGGACGGUCACACGGGGACUGAGACACGGCCCAGACUCCUACGGGAGGCAGCAGUGGGGAAUAUUGCACAAUGGGCGCAAGCCUGAUGCAGCGACGCCGCGUGAGGGAUGGAGGCCUUCGGGUUGGGAACCUCUUUCGCCAGUGAAGCAGGCCUGCCUCGUUUGUGGGUGGGUUGACGGGAGCUGGAUAAGAAGCGCCGGCUAACUACGU